Molecule: ribosomal RNA, 403 nt
Filed under: bacterium
Lineage: Bacteria
Description: partial 16S ribosomal RNA
Rfam family: Bacterial small subunit ribosomal RNA
Source: RNAcentral
UGGGGAAUAUUGCACAAUGGAGGGAACUCUGAUGCAGCGACGCCGCGUGAACGAAGAAGGCUUUCGAGUCGUAAAGUUCUUUUAUAUGGGAAGAUAAUGACGGUACCAUAAGAAGAAGCCCCGGCUAACUACGUGCCAGCAGCCGCGGUAAUACGUAGGGGGCUAGCGUUGUCCGGAAUCACUGGGCGUGAAGGGUUCGCAGGCGGAAAUGCAAGUCAGGUGUAAAAGGCAGUAGCUUAACUACUGUAAGCAUUUGAAACUGCAUAUCUUGAGAAGAGUAGAGGUAAGUGGAAUUUUUAGUGUAGCGGUGAAAUGCGUAGAUAUUAAAAAGAAUACCGGUGGCGAAGGCGACUUACUGGGCUCAUUCUGACGCUGAGGAACGAAAGCGUGGGUAGCAAACAGG